This 251-nucleotide unclassified non-coding RNA is filed under the name Hevea brasiliensis (rubber tree). Lineage: Eukaryota; Viridiplantae; Streptophyta; Magnoliopsida; Malpighiales; Euphorbiaceae. The record is from RNAcentral.
GCUAUGCGUUCAUCGGGAUUGGGGCUGAGGGCAGCUUGAAGGAUUAAAGCUAGGCUAGGGAGAUCCAUAGACGGAAUAUUAAGUAUCAAUAACUGGACUAAGAAUUGAAUUCCAAACCCGAAAUUCAAAAAUCGAGAUUGAUCUUGGAGGUAACUAAACCCUAGCUGGAGCUCAACUGUAACCAGAAAGGACGUCUCCGAGUUUAGAGAGAGAAAAAAUAAGGAGGGGCAGAGAGACACAGACAGAGUGAG